This 840-nucleotide long non-coding RNA is filed under the name Salmo salar (Atlantic salmon). RNAcentral's name for it is "lncRNA (ENSSSAG00000120985.1)". Lineage: Eukaryota; Metazoa; Chordata; Actinopteri; Salmoniformes; Salmonidae. The record is from RNAcentral.
UGAUGGCCUUGAGGUAGAAAAUGUUUUUCAGUCUCUCUGUCCCAGCUUUGAUGUUAUUGUACUGUCUCCUCCUUCUAGAUGGUAGAGGGGUGAACAGGCCGUGGCUCGGGUGGCUGAGGUCCUUGAUGAUCUUCUAGAUGGUAGCAGGGUGAACAGGCCGUGGCUCGGGUGGCUGAGGUCCUUGAUGAUCUUCUAGAUGGUAGAGGGGUGAACAGACUGUGGCUCGGGGUGGCUGAGGUCCUUGAUGAUCUUCUAGAUGGUAGAGGGGUGAACAGGCUGUGGCUCGGGGUGGCUGAGGUCCUUGAUGAUCUUCUAGAUGGUAGCGGGGUGAACAGGCUGUGGCUCGGGGUGGCUGAGGUCCUUGAUGAUCUUCUAGAUGGUAGCGGGGUGAACAGGCUGUGGCUCGGGGUGGCUGAGGUCCUUGAUGAUCUUCUAGAUGGUAGCGGGGUGAACAGGCUGUGGCUCGGGGUGGCUGAGGUCCUUGAUGAUCUUCUAGAUGGUAGAGGGGUGAACAGGCCGUGGCUCGGGUGGCUGAGGUCCUUGAUGAUCUUCUAGAUGGUAGCAGGGUGAACAGGCCGUGGCUCGGGGUGGCUGAGGUCAUUGAUGAUCUUGAUUUUGUGCCUUGCGAACUCCGCCUCCAGCAAGAGAUCAACCUCUGACAGUGUGCCAGAAGAAACGGGAGGAUGGAGCCAAAAGAAAUGGACGGUGAGUGGAUCUAAACUCAUGGAGCUUUUCCAAACCUGCCAGCAGGUGGAGCUGUCGUGACUGAUAGAAGAACCACCACUUGCUGUUUAACCUGUCAAGGUAUAGGGGGCAGUAUUUUCGAUUUCGGAUGAAAAG